GACAGGUAUGGUCCCUGCUUUUACAUCAGCCCUAGUUUAACUUACACAUGCAAGUAUCCGCACCCCAGUGAGAAUGCCCUCAACACCCAGCCGGAACAGAGGAGCGGGCAUCAGGCACGCACAUGCAGCCCAAGACGCCUUGCUACGCCACACCCCCAAGGGUACUCAGCAGUGACUAAUAUUAAACAUAAGCGAAAGCUUGAUUUAGUUAAAACUAAGAGGGUCGGUAAAACUCGUGCCAGCCACCGCGGUUAUACGAGAGACCCAAGUUGAUACUCACGGCGUAAAGCGUGAUUAUAGGCCGACAAACAACUAAAGCCAAAACCCCUCAAAGCCGUCAUACGCACAUCGAGGGCCGUAAGACCUAAAACGAAAGUAGCUUUAACACAACAAACCUAGACCACACGACAGCUAGGACACAAACUGGGAUUAGAUACCCCACUAUGCCUAGUCGUAAACUUUGAUGAUAAACUACAAAUAUCAUCCGCCAGGGAACUACAAGCGCAUCGCUCGAAACCCAACGGACUUGGCGGUGCCCCACACCCACCUAGAGGAGCCUGUUCUAUAACUGACAAUCCCCGUUCAACCUCACCACUCCUAGCCUUUUCAGUCUAUAUACCACCGUCGUAAGCUCACCCUGUGAAGGAUCAACAGUAAGCAAAAUGGGCAAACCCCAGAACGUCAGGUCGAGGUGUAGCACACGGAGUGGGAAGAAAUGGGCUACAUUUUCUGCCUACAGAAUAUCAACGGACAACGUCAUGAAACCUGCCGUUCAAAGGAGGAUUUAGCAGUAAAAAGAAAAUAGAGAGUUCUUUUGAAGCCGGCCCUGGGGCGCGCACACACCGCCCGUCACUCUCCACUACAAUUAUUCUCCACAGGAAAAUAAUCAACCAGCCCAAAAACUAAAUAAUAUAACAAUUGGUUCUCCCAGUGGAGACAAGUCGUAACACGGUAAGUGUACCGGAAGGUGCACUUGGAACAAC
Molecule: non-coding RNA, 983 nt
Filed under: Mormyrops anguilloides (Cornish jack)
Lineage: Eukaryota; Metazoa; Chordata; Actinopteri; Osteoglossiformes; Mormyridae
Description: 12S rRNA
Rfam family: Bacterial small subunit ribosomal RNA
Source: RNAcentral